RNAcentral lists this ribosomal RNA (688 nucleotides) under Gilliamella sp. Occ4-3. Its description in RNAcentral is "bacterial SSU rRNA". It matches the Rfam family "Bacterial small subunit ribosomal RNA", at positions 846 to 1533 of the family's 1533-position model. The record is from RNAcentral. Lineage: Bacteria; Pseudomonadati; Pseudomonadota; Gammaproteobacteria; Orbales; Orbaceae.
CCGAAGCUAACGCGAUAAAUCGACCGCCUGGGGAGUACGGCCGCAAGGUUAAAACUCAAAUGAAUUGACGGGGGCCCGCACAAGCGGUGGAGCAUGUGGUUUAAUUCGAUGCAACGCGAAGAACCUUACCUGGUCUUGACAUCCACAGAAUCUUGUAGAGAUACGAGAGUGCCUUCGGGAACUGUGAGACAGGUGCUGCAUGGCUGUCGUCAGCUCGUGUUGUGAAAUGUUGGGUUAAGUCCCGCAACGAGCGCAACCCUUAUCCUUUGUUGCCAUCGAUUAGGUCGGGAACUCAAAGGAGACUGCCGUUGAUAAAGCGGAGGAAGGUGGGGACGACGUCAAGUCAUCAUGGCCCUUACGACCAGGGCUACACACGUGCUACAAUGGCGUAUACAAAGGGAGGCGACCUCGCGAGAGUAAGCGGACCUCACAAAGUACGUCUAAGUCCGGAUUGGAGUCUGCAACUCGACUCCAUGAAGUCGGAAUCGCUAGUAAUCGUGAAUCAGAAUGUCACGGUGAAUACGUUCCCGGGCCUUGUACACACCGCCCGUCACACCAUGGGAGUGGGUUGCACCAGAAGUAGAUAGCUUAACCUUCGGGAGGGCGUUUACCACGGUGUGGUUCAUGACUGGGGUGAAGUCGUAACAAGGUAACCGUAGGGGAACCUGCGGUUGGAUCACCUCCUUAC